CGCGGCCUAUCAGCUUGUUGGUGGGGUAACGGCCUACCAAGGCAUCGACGGGUAGCUGGUCUGAGAGGACGAUCAGCCACACUGGGACUGAGACACGGCCCAGACUCCUACGGGAGGCAGCAGUGGGGAAUAUUGCGCAAUGGGCGAAAGCCUGACGCAGCAACGCCGCGUGGGGGAUGAAGGCUUUCGGGUUGUAAGCCCCUUUCAGUGAUGACGAAAAUGACGGUAAUCACAGAAGAAGCCCCGGCCAACUACGUGCCAGCAGCCGCGGUAACACGUAGGGGGCAAGCGUUGUCCGGAUUUAUUGGGCGUAAAGAGCUCGUAGGCGGUUGCGUAAGUCGGAUGUGAAAACUCAGGGCUCAACCCUGAGAUGCCAUUCGAUACUGCGCUGACUAGAGUCCGGUAGAGGAGCAUGGAAUUCCUGGUGUAGCGGUGAAAUGCGCAGAUAUCAGGAGGAACACCAGUAGCGAAGGCGGUGCUCUGGGCCGGUACUGACGCUGAGGAGCGAAAGCAUGGGUAGCAAACAGGAUUAGAUACCCUGGUAGUCCAUGCCGUAAACGUUGGGCACUAGGUGUGGGACCUACUUAACGGGUUCCGUGCCGUAGCUAACGCAUUAAGUGCCCCGCCUGGGAGUACGGA
Molecule: ribosomal RNA, 639 nt
Filed under: uncultured bacterium
Lineage: Bacteria
Description: bacterial SSU rRNA
Rfam family: Bacterial small subunit ribosomal RNA
Source: RNAcentral